Molecule: non-coding RNA, 187 nt
Organism: Oryza glumipatula
Lineage: Eukaryota; Viridiplantae; Streptophyta; Magnoliopsida; Poales; Poaceae
Source: Rfam
UUCAAACAAGUGAAACUUUGAUCGUCCGUAUUAUUUGAAAUUUUUCAUAAUUAUUAUUUUUAUUAUUAUGAGAUAAUAAAACUUGAAUAGUUCUUUAUACGUGACAUAUGUUUUUAAAUUUUUCAAAACAAUUUCAAAUAAGACGGAUGGUCAAAGUUGUGCACGGAAAAUCAUAGCUGCACUUCAA